UCUUUAAUCCACGCGGGAUCCGUUUUUGUUCGGGUCAUUUGAUACCCGUGUUUUCGGAUAUAUAUAAAAUCCACAGAGACAACUUUCUUUCCUAUUCUCCCUGUAAACCCUAACCAAAAACUUCAUCGCCGCUUUCAUUUUUGUGGCAAUCAGAGGUAACAUAGUUGGAUUCAAGCGAUGUUGGUUUGAUAUGCCGACCAUGAUUCAUCGCCGCUGAUGCUUUCUGAUUAUCCUACUGGUAAAGUUCACCGAUGAUGGUGGUUCUGCUUUCUCAUUCAUCCAAUCCUAUUGAUUGCUGCUUCACGGUUUUAGGUAAGAGAUUUAUGGCGAUUUGAUGAACAUUUCUGCUUCUUGGUGUUCUGGUAAGAGAUUCAUUACGCUUCAUCAUUUUCUUUCAUUCGGAAUGUUCUGCAAAGGUAAGCAUUAGGGUCGUUUUUUUAUUUCUUCAAUUAGGGCUUCAUUUUCUUAUGAUUAAAUUCUUCUGUUCGUUUAUGUUACAUAUAUAUGUGUCUUAAUUGCCAGGCUACGAGCAAAUGUAAGGGUUUUGAAGAACAUGAAAUUAGGGUUUAGUACUGAUUAGUACCGAUUUGGAUAUGGAAUUAAUUUUAAAUUAAUCCAGUAAUUCAAUCCCUUGAAUCAAAUAUAGAUAUUUAUCAUAUUCUGAUAUUCAUCUUAUCGUUAAUGAGAUGAAUGCUUGGAUUUCAAAAUUCGGUUUCAUUUAGUUAGCGUAACAAGAUAAUUUGCUUAAUGAAAAGUGAGAAGGAAAAGAAGUGAUAGGGUAACUGAAGGAUCUAUUACUAUUGUCCAUUCCAUUUCCGUCUAUUUCCGUGUCUUUUUCAUUCUUAUUACAUAUUUAUAUGUCACUGAACGAUGGGAUAAUGUAUCUAGAGACCAUGCGUUUUUUCAAACAAAUUUGUUAAGGCGACCCAUAUUAAGAAAAAACAACUUUAUUGGCCACAAAAGUUUGUAUAUGUUUUUGUAUAUACCAAUUCCGCAAAACUAAUACUGGAAUAAUAUAAAAUGACAAAAACACCCCUAUUUUUUUACAAACUAAGUUAGUAUCGUAUAAUGAUCGAAAUCUGAAAAGCCACCCUUCUAUCAUUUCUAAGAAGAGAAAUAUGCAUUGUAAUGAAGGAUGUUUUAAGAGUUUUUUUAAAGUUAGAACUGUUUUAGCCAUUUUAUGAUUUUCCGGCACAAAUGUGACCUCAAUUUCUAUAAAGAAAAAAAGUACAUAUUUUCCUGUCAUGUAAGAUUGUUAUUACAAACAGGUCGCCUUAAUGAAAGUCAAUACUUGGAUAGCCUUCACACAUAUUAACUGUGUAUUAACUGUAUAACAUGCUUCAGCUGAUCGUCUUCUUCAUUGCAUUUUAUCUGAUUAACUACUAUUAUGUAUGUGGAAUCGUGGACUGCAAAAAUGGUAUUAGUUUUUUAGAUUUUAAGCUAAAGUAGCAGCCGAAGGUUUAUAAUCCAGUUUCCUUUGCAUUCAUAUAUACUAUCUUCUAUAAAAUUUGAAGAUUAAUGGGCUUUUGUUAAAUUAGCAGCUUUAUUUAAUGGGCUUUUGUGGAAUUAUGGAAUUAUCAUCGAUGAAAAUCAUUGUCCAUCAUUCUACAGCGGUUUUUUAUUUUUUAUUUUGAGUUAUAUAAUCUGCACAUCCUUUCAUGAACUAUCAUGCUUUUGUUUUAUGCAUGAAUUAUCAUACCGUUGUUUUAUGCUUUUCAAGACUCAUAUAAUCCGAUUUGGGUUCCUUAAUCGACAGAUUUGAAGCUCUUUGGGUUUUGGUCAAAGUUGUCAUAUAUACAAUCAAUGAGAUUCAUAUUCAUCGAUCGAUUAAAGAGGAAGAGUACAUCAUCAAAUUGAAGUCAACUUUGAAUUGUGUGUCACACCCCAAAAUAUCAGAGCUGGCGUGACUGGACCGGUAUCUUCAUUGCACAGCGGAAGCUAAUAAUGCUAAGACUUCUAGAAAGUGAACGCCACUAAGUACUCGAAUUCCCAUGGGUUCUCCUAUUCCAACCGUUCCAUAGCUUUGAAAACGCAACCUGAGAAAGAACAUGCGAAAAAAGUCAACAUAAAGUUGAGCGAGUUCAUAGUUUGUUUUGAAAAGAUUUAAAAGAAAUCUUUUUGAUAACCGGUUUCAAAGUUGUUGAGAAAAUAUAGUAAAAUUAUUUUCUUGGCAUGAUAUAUGAAAAAUUGUGAGUCUAGCCCACAAUAGUCUUUGUGCAUUGCACGAGAGAGAAUGGGCCGAGCCCAAACUAACCUUUAUAAGUAGGAUCAGCGCGUCCUCUUACUUAGGUAUAAUUUGAAAAACGUUACCAAAGUUUGUAAAUCCAUGUAUUUGUGAGUUUACAUCAAAUGAAUCUUAAAA
Molecule: long non-coding RNA, 2362 nt
Filed under: Helianthus annuus (common sunflower)
Lineage: Eukaryota; Viridiplantae; Streptophyta; Magnoliopsida; Asterales; Asteraceae
Description: hypothetical non coding rna
Source: RNAcentral